Long non-coding RNA from Dermochelys coriacea (leatherback sea turtle), 99 nucleotides. RefSeq lists it as uncharacterized. Lineage: Eukaryota; Metazoa; Chordata; Testudines; Dermochelyidae. The transcript has 5 exons. The record is from RefSeq and is a predicted model, not a curated record.
GCAAUCCUUAAAGGGGCCAAGGAUUUUCUUUCCCCUGCUGGCCCAGAAAAAGGCUCCCCACCUCUGAGGCUGGUCGGAGGGAAUUUUGAGAAAAGUAAG